This 258-nucleotide ribosomal RNA is filed under the name uncultured microorganism. RNAcentral describes it as "partial 16S ribosomal RNA". It matches the Rfam family "Bacterial small subunit ribosomal RNA", at positions 9 to 253 of the family's 1533-position model. The record is from RNAcentral.
GAGUUUGAUUAUGGCUCAGGAUGAACGCUGGCGGCGUGCCUAAUACAUGCAAGUCGAGCGAACGGACGAGAAGCUUGCUUCUACUGAUGUUAGCGGCGGACGGGUGAGUAACACGCGGAUAACCUACCUAUAAGACUGGGAUAACUUCGGGGAAACCGGAGCUAAUACCGGGAUAAUAUUUUGAACCGCAUGGUUCAAAAGUGAAAGACGGUCUUGCUGUCACUUAUAGAUGGAUCCGCGCUGCAUUAGCUAGUUGGU